This 225-nucleotide ribosomal RNA is filed under the name uncultured Glomeromycotina. RNAcentral describes it as "partial 18S ribosomal RNA". The stretch from base 38 to 225 matches the Rfam family "Eukaryotic small subunit ribosomal RNA", at positions 684 to 873 of the family's 1831-position model. The record is from RNAcentral. Lineage: Eukaryota; Fungi; Glomeromycota.
GGGUUAGUAGGUCGGUCGUGCCACUGGUAUGUACUGGUUCUACUGAUCCCUCCUUCUUGUAGAACCGUAAUGCCAUUAAUUUGGUGUUGCGGGGAAACAGGACUGUUACUUUGAAAAAAUUAGAGUGUUUAAAGCAGGCUAACGCUUGAAUACAUUAGCAUGGAAUAAUGAAAUAGGACGAUCGAUCCUAUUUUGUUGGUUUCCAGGAUUGACGUAAUGAUUAAU